AGAGUUUGAUCCUGGCUCAGAUUGAACGCUGGCGGCAGGCCUAACACAUGCAAGUCGAGCGGAAACGAGUUAUCUGAACCUUCGGGGAACGAUAACGGCGUCGAGCGGCGGACGGGUGAGUAAUGCCUAGGAAAUUGCCCUGAUGUGGGGGAUAACCAUUGGAAACGAUGGCUAAUACCGCAUGAUGCCUACGGGCCAAAGAGGGGGACCUUCGGGCCUCUCGCGUCAGGAUAUGCCUAGGUGGGAUUAGCUAGUUGGUGAGGUAAGGGCUCACCAAGGCGACGAUCCCUAGCUGGUCUGAGAGGAUGAUCAGCCACACUGGAACUGAGACACGGUCCAGACUCCUACGGGAGGCAGCAGUGGGGAAUAUUGCACAAUGGGCGCAAGCCUGAUGCAGCCAUGCCGCGUGUGUGAAGAAGGCCUUCGGGUUGUAAAGCACUUUCAGUCGUGAGGAAGGUAGUGUAGUUAAUAGCUGCAUUAUUUGACGUUAGCGACAGAAGAAGCACCGGCUAACUCCGUGCCAGCAGCCGCGGUAAUACGGAGGGUGCGAGCGUUAAUCGGAAUUACUGGGCGUAAAGCGCAUGCAGGUGGUUUGUUAAGUCAGAUGUGAAAGCCCGGGGCUCAACCUCGGAAUAGCAUUUGAAACUGGCAGACUAGAGUACUGUAGAGGGGGGUAGAAUUUCAGGUGUAGCGGUGAAAUGCGUAGAGAUCUGAAGGAAUACCGGUGGCGAAGGCGGCCCCCUGGACAGAUACUGACACUCAGAUGCGAAAGCGUGGGGAGCAAACAGGAUUAGAUACCCUGGUAGUCCACGCCGUAAACGAUGUCUACUUGGAGGUUGUGGCCUUGAGCCGUGGCUUUCGGAGCUAACGCGUUAAGUAGACCGCCUGGGGAGUACGGUCGCAAGAUUAAAACUCAAAUGAAUUGACGGGGGCCCGCACAAGCGGUGGAGCAUGUGGUUUAAUUCGAUGCAACGCGAAGAACCUUACCUACUCUUGACAUCCAGAGAACUUUCCAGAGAUGGAUUGGUGCCUUCGGGAACUCUGAGACAGGUGCUGCAUGGCUGUCGUCAGCUCGUGUUGUGAAAUGUUGGGUUAAGUCCCGCAACGAGCGCAACCCUUAUCCUUGUUUGCCAGCGAGUAAUGUCGGGAACUCCAGGGAGACUGCCGGUGAUAAACCGGAGGAAGGUGGGGACGACGUCAAGUCAUCAUGGCCCUUACGAGUAGGGCUACACACGUGCUACAAUGGCGCAUACAGAGGGCGGCCAACUUGCGAAAGUGAGCGAAUCCCAAAAAGUGCGUCGUAGUCCGGAUUGGAGUCUGCAACUCGACUCCAUGAAGUCGGAAUCGCUAGUAAUCGUGGAUCAGAAUGCCACGGUGAAUACGUUCCCGGGCCUUGUACACACCGCCCGUCACACCAUGGGAGUGGGCUGCAAAAGAAGUAGGUAGUUUAACCUUCGGGGGGACGCUUACCACUUUGUGGUUCAUGACUGGGGUGAAGUCGUAACAAGGUAGCC
RNAcentral lists this ribosomal RNA (1514 nucleotides) under Vibrio alginolyticus. Its description in RNAcentral is "bacterial SSU rRNA". It matches the Rfam family "Bacterial small subunit ribosomal RNA". Lineage: Bacteria; Pseudomonadati; Pseudomonadota; Gammaproteobacteria; Vibrionales; Vibrionaceae. The record is from RNAcentral. RNAcentral also lists the same sequence under 1 other name.